This 1916-nucleotide long non-coding RNA is filed under the name Mus musculus (house mouse). Its description in RNAcentral is "long non-coding RNA chr7:119852795-119854711". Lineage: Eukaryota; Metazoa; Chordata; Mammalia; Rodentia; Muridae. The record is from RNAcentral.
GUGUUUCACAGACUUUUUCUUAAAUCCUAAUACCAAUGCCCUUUAUUUUGCAGAUGAAUUAAAAAAUAAACUUAAUCAUUGCAAGCCUAAUUAGACCUAGGGACCACCCAUGUAUUUAACAUAGAGCUCAAAACUGUCUUUUUAUUUCUCAUGGGAACUGUGAUACCUAAGGUAAGAAAGAUGAUUUCAGUAAUGGGCAUCUAAGCAAGCAUUCAUGUGCAUGGAGGAAGACUCCUAUCCUACAUGGGUCAUUUUCCUAAGUUGUUAAUAUAGCAUAGCAUCACAUUGGAAAAGGUUCCCAAUGGGUUGAUAAACUUUACCUCAGAAUAAAUUCACUGUUUUUUGUUUUCUGCAGAAAUAUCAAUAAUUAGGUAAACAAAUUUAUUGAAUUCAACAGCAGAUAACCUUCAAAAAAAAAAAAGGAAAAAAUACUGUAGACAUAAAAGAGAAAGAUGUGUAUAUCAAGUUAAUAUUCAGGGGGCUAUUUGAAGAGUGCAACAGUGCAGAGAAUACAAAAGUAUUAACUUUUGUCAAGUUUGUACAACCUCAGGGAAGGUACGAAGGUCACAAACCAAGAGGGAUCCACAAAGGUAGAAGGUCACAUGAGCAGUGUCUCAUCACCUCAGAGGAUUAAGACAGGAUAUAUGCAAGACCAAUUCAACCAAGCCCUGAUUGCCUAUUGCUUCAAAUUCCCUCUUCAAAACCUAGAACCAUAUUCAGUGCAGCAGGGAAGAGCAGUUAACAGAUUCUGAGGUCUGGGGACCAGGACCAGAGAAAAGAGAAUUCUUCUGUAGCAAAUAUAUUUGUGCUGAGAGAAAAACAGCAGCUGCUAAAUGGCUUCUUUUGGCAAUGCUCAGGAUAUGUGAUGGAAGUAGGUAUCUAUGAGAGCAGGCUGGGUUUCCAAGAGAAACAGAACAUGAUGCCCCAACACCUGAAUCAGAACUUGGUUUUUCAGCUAAUCAAACCACCUCAGCAUCUGUGCCCAAUGCUCAAGCAUCCUUCUCUGAAAUAAAGAGGAGAGGGGCUGAGACCAGGGGCGACUCCUGGUGAGCAUCCCCAGCAUGUAGUCCUGGGCCAGGUCAAACUGGUAUGGGCUGCAAUUACAGCUUACCAAGGAAACUCUGAAUAAGAGUGUGGCAAGAACCUAUCCUCUACGUGACCCAGAAGAAAAGAUCAGUGUCACAUGACCUUAAAUAAUCCUAAUCAACGUAUUUUGAUAACUUUGUCCUUUCAAGUAUUUAAGCUAAGUACUGCUUUAGUCCUCCAGGUAAGACCUCUGUCUGUUACCAAGAUGUUCAGGUCAUCACUAGCCAUCCUAACAUACAUAGGAGAUUAAGUGGUGAGAGGGGAUAAAAACCUUUUAACAGUAGUUCUCUAUCCCUUACAUAACUGUAUAACUAGGUCUACCUGCUGCACUGAAGACCCCACUUGAAAUACAGCAGACUAUACAUUCCAAUAAACACAUCUUUUGCUUUGUUAGUUUUUGGACAAGUCUUUAUCUUAGCAACUUCCCACCAAUGUGCAGUCUACGUACAUAAUCUAUGGGAUCCCAUAACCUGAUCUGGCCUGGAGACCACACCCUAGGAGACAGUACUGUUUCAAGCUAAUUCUGUGUGCAUGGUAAUUCUUCACUGCCCUUCUAAUAUGAACAGUACUGCUUUGCACAUUUUCUGUUAUCUUUCCCUUGGCCCAAAGUGUUGGCUGAAAUUUGGAUUUUCAGUCAGCUCUGAGAACUUCUUUAUCAGAUAGGUACAUACAGACUUCUGGACCCAACAGACAUGUUGGCGCAUCUGCCACAAUGAAGAGAGAGCUGCUGAAGCAACCCCCAGAAGUACAGCAAAGCGUCAAUGAGAAUGAUACAUUCAAGUUUGGCAAGGAAGACUAAGGGAAAGAAUUCAAUAAAGUAACUUUUUAUC